AUGGGACGUUUCAUCCACCACCCCAAUCUCUCUCACAGAGUGGCCCUGGAACCAAACCGAGGAAGAGACCAGAACCGUCACAGGCUAAGGGACACUGCAAACCUCCACCUCCCCACACACACACACAAUUGCCUCAGAGGCCACUUGGCAUGCAGCGCACCACGGGACAUCGCUGCCAAGUCGCACCUCAUACUUAGCUUCAUGGCCGCCGCGGCGCACCUCACACGCGGCCUCCCCGCCAGCGCCUCACACACGAGUUUCCCUCAGCUGCGCACCUCACACGCGGGCUCCCCUCAGCCCCGCGCCUCACACGCGGGCUCCCCUCAGCCCCGCACCUCACACGCGGGCUCCCCUCAGCCCCGCACCUCACACGCGGGCUCCCCGAGGACGCACACCUCACACGCGGGCUCCCCUCAGCCCGCACCUCACACGCGGGCUCCCCGCGGACGCGCACCUCACACGCGGGCUCCCCGCCGCCGCACACCUCACACACGAGUUUCCCUCAUCCCCGCACCUCACACGCGGGCUCCCCUCAGCCCCGCACCUCACACGCGGGCUCCCGUCAGCCCCGCGCUUCACACGUGGGCUCCCCUCAGCCCCGCACCUCACACGCGGACUCCCCUCAGACCCGCACCUCACACGCGGGCUCCCCUCAGCCCCGCGCCUCACACGCGGGCUCCCCUCAGCCCGCACCUCACACACGAGUUUCCCUCAGCCCCGCGCCUCACACGCGGGCUCCCCUCAGCCCCGCACCUCACACGCGGACUCCCCUCAGCCCCGCACCUCACACGCGGACUCCCCUCAGCCCCGCGCCUCACACGCGGGCUCCCCUCAGCCCCGCGCCUCACACGCGGGCUCCCCUCAGACCCGCGCCUCACACGCGGGCUCCCCUCAGCCCCGCGCCUCACACGCGGGCUCCCCUCAGCCCCGCACCUCACACGCGGGCUCCCCUCAGCCCCGCAUCUCACACGCGGGCUCCCCUCAGCCCCGCACCUCACACGCGGGCUCCCCGAGGACGCGCACCUCACACGCGGGCUCCCCGCCGCCGCACACCUCACACACGAGUUUCCCUCAUCCCCGCAUCUCACACACGAGUUUCCCUCAGCCCCGCGCCUCACACGCGGGCUCCCCUCAACCCGCACCUCACACGCGGGCUCCCCUCAGCCCCGCACCUCACACGCGGGCUCCCCUCAGCCCCGCACCUCACACGCGGGCUCCCCUCAGCCCCGCACCUCACACGCGGGCUCCCCUCAGCCCCGCACCUCACACGCGGGAUCCCCUAAGACCCGCAUCUCACACGCGGGCUCCCCUCAGCCCCGCACCUCACACGCGGGCUCCCCUCAGCUGCGCGCCUCACACACCUCACACGUGGGCUCAUGGCGGCCGCGUGCACCCCACAGGCGCACUUUAAGUGCAUAG
Molecule: long non-coding RNA, 1419 nt
Filed under: Oryctolagus cuniculus (rabbit)
Lineage: Eukaryota; Metazoa; Chordata; Mammalia; Lagomorpha; Leporidae
Description: lncRNA (ENSOCUG00000037178.1)
Source: RNAcentral